Molecule: ribosomal RNA, 1471 nt
Filed under: uncultured Bordetella sp.
Lineage: Bacteria; Pseudomonadati; Pseudomonadota; Betaproteobacteria; Burkholderiales; Alcaligenaceae
Description: partial 16S-23S ribosomal RNA intergenic spacer
Rfam family: Bacterial small subunit ribosomal RNA
Source: RNAcentral
AGUUCGAUUCUGGCUCAGAUUGAACGCUGGCGGGAUGCUUUACACAUGCAAGUCGAACGGCAGCACGGACUUCGGUCUGGUGGUGAGUGGCGAACGGGUGAGUAAUGUAUCGGAACGUGCCUAGUAGCGGGGAUAACUACGCGAAAGGCAGCGACAAUGUGCAUACGCCCUUCGGGGGAAAGCGGGGACCUUCGGGCCUCGCACUAUUAGAGCGGCCGAUAUCGGAUUAGCUAGGGUUGGUAACGGCUCACCAAGGCGACGAUCCGUAGCUGGUUUGAGAGGGCGACCAGCCACACUGGACUGAGAUUACUUCGGCCCAGACUCCUACGGGAGGUGGGGAAUUUGACAAUGGGGGAAACCCUGAUCCAGCCACUCCGCGUGUGCGAUGAAGGCCUUCGGGCUGUAAAGCACUUUUGGCAGGAAAGAAACAGCACGGGAUAAUACCCCGUGCAACUGACGGUACCUGCAGAAUAAGCACCGGCUAACUACGUGCCAGCAGCCGCGGUAAUACGUAGGGUGCAAGCGCGUUAAUCGGAAUUACUGGGCGUAAGCGUGCGCAGGCGGUUCUGGAAAGAAAGAUGAAAUCCCAGAGCUUAACUCUUUGGAACUGCAUUUUUAACUACCGAGCUAGGAGCGGUGUCAGAGAGGGAGGUGGAAUUCCGCGUGUAGCAGUGGAAAUGCGUAGAUAUGCGGAGGAACACCGACGGCGAAGGCAGCCUCCCGGGGAUACUGACGCUCAUGCACGAAAGCGUGAGCAAACAGGAUUAGAUACCCUGGUAGUCCACGCCCUAAACGAUGUCAACUAGCCGUUGGGGCCUUCGGGCCUGGUAGCGCAGCUAACGCGUGAAGUUGACCGCCUGGGAGUACGGUCGCAAGAUUAAAACUCAAAGAAUUGAUGGGGACCCGCACAAGCGGUGGAUGAUGUGGAUUAAUUCGAUGCAACGCGAAAACCUUACCUACCCUUGACAUGCUGGAAUCCCGAAGAGAUUUGGGAGUGCUCGCAAGAGAACCGAACACAGGUGCUGCAUGGCUGUCGUCAGCUCGUAAUGAUGUUGGGUUAAGUCCUACAACGAGCGCAAACUCCUUGUCAUUAGUUGCUACGAAAGGGCACUCUAAUGAGACUGCCGGUGACAAACCGGAGGAAGGGAUGACGUCGUCUCAGCUUUUUGGCCCUUAUGGGGUAGGGCUUCACACGUCAUACAAUGGUCGGGACAGAGGGUCGCCAACCCGCGAGGGGGAGCCAAUCCCAGAAACCCGAUCGUAAAGUCCGGAUCGCAGUCUGCAACUCGACUGCGUGAAGUCGGAAUCGCUAGUAAUCGCGGAUCAGCAUGUCGCGAAGAAGACGCCCCGGGUCUUGUACACACCGCCCGUCACACCAUGGGAGUGGGUUUUACCAGAAGUAGUUAGCCUAACCGUAAGGAGGGCGAUUACCACGGUAGGAUCUAUGAUCAGCGAAGUCGUAACAAGGUAG